Molecule: transfer RNA, 74 nt
Filed under: Nannizzia gypsea CBS 118893
Lineage: Eukaryota; Fungi; Ascomycota; Eurotiomycetes; Onygenales; Arthrodermataceae
Description: tRNA-Arg (TCG) (tRNA-Arg-TCG-2-1)
Rfam family: tRNA
About the family: Transfer RNA (tRNA) molecules are approximately 80 nucleotides in length. Their secondary structure includes four short double-helical elements and three loops (D, anti-codon, and T loops). Further hydrogen bonds mediate the characteristic L-shaped molecular structure. tRNAs have two regions of fundamental functional importance: the anti-codon, which is responsible for specific mRNA codon recognition, and the 3' end, to which the tRNAs corresponding amino acid is attached (by aminoacyl-tRNA synthetases). tRNAs cope with the degeneracy of the genetic code in two manners: having more than one tRNA (with a specific anti-codon) for a particular amino acid; and 'wobble' base-pairing, i.e. permitting non-standard base-pairing at the 3rd anti-codon position.
Source: RNAcentral
GGCCGCGUGGCCUAAUGGUUAAGGCGCUGGUUUUCGGCACCAGAGACUUGUGUGUUCGAAUCACACCGUGGUCG